RNAcentral lists this ribosomal RNA (740 nucleotides) under Sporidiobolales sp. LM369. RNAcentral describes it as "bacterial SSU rRNA". The stretch from base 1 to 362 matches the Rfam family "Eukaryotic small subunit ribosomal RNA", at positions 1471 to 1831 of the family's 1831-position model. The record is from RNAcentral. Lineage: Eukaryota; Fungi; Basidiomycota; Microbotryomycetes; Sporidiobolales.
CCUUAGAGUUCUGGGCCGCACGCGCGCUACACUGACAGAGCCAGCGAGUCUACCACCUUUGCCGGAAGGCAUGGGUAAUCUUGUGAAACUCUGUCGUGAUGGGGAUAGAGCAUUGCAAUUAUUGCUCUUCAACGAGGAAUACCUAGUAAGCGUGAUUCAUCAGAUCGCGUUGAUUACGUCCCUGCCCUUUGUACACACCGCCCGUCGCUACUACCGAUUGAAUGGCUUAGUGAGGCCUCCGGAUUGGCUAUUGGGAGCUCGCGAGAGCACCCGACUGCCGAGAAGUUGUACGAACUUGGUCAUUUAGAGGAAGUAAAAGUCGUAACAAGGUUUCCGUAGGUGAACCUGCGGAAGGAUCAUUAGUGAAUAUUAGGGCGUCCAACUUAACUUGGAGCCCGAACUCUCACUUUCUAACCCUGUGCAUCUGUUUCUGGUCAGUAGCUCUCUCGGGAGUGAACGCCAUUCACUUAAAACACAAAGUCUAUGAAUGUAUAAAAUUUAUAACAAAACAAAACUUUCAACAACGGAUCUCUUGGCUCUCGCAUCGAUGAAGAACGCAGCGAAAUGCGAUAAGUAAUGUGAAUUGCAGAAUUCAGUGAAUCAUCGAAUCUUUGAACGCACCUUGCGCUCUCUGGUAUUCCGGAGAGCAUGCCUGUUUGAGUGUCAUGAAAUCUUCAACCCUCUCUUUUCUUAGUGAAUCGAGAGGUGCUUGGAUCCUGAGCGCUGCUGGCUUCGGCCUA